CGGGUGCACUGAUCCAGCCGGGCCUUUCCCUCUGUGGAACCCCAUGGCCUUCACUGGCUGUGGUGGGGAAACAGGACUUUUACUUUGAAAAAAUUAGAGUGCUCCAGGCAGGCCUAUGCUCGAAUACAUUAGCAUGGAAUAAUAGAAUAGGACGUGUGGUUCUAUUUUGUUGGUUUCUAGGACCGCCGUAAUGAUUAGUAGGGACAGUCGGGGGCAUCAGUAUUCAAUUGUCAGAGGUGAAAUUCUUGGAUCUAUUGAAGACUAACUACUGCGAAAGCAUUUGCCAAGGAUGUUUUCAUUGAUAAGGAACGAAAGUUAGGGGAUCGAAGACGAUCAGAUACCGUCGUAGUCUUAACUAUAAACUAUGCCGACUAGGGAUCGGACGAUGUUAUUCUUUGACGCGUUCGGCACCUUUCGAGAAAUCAAAGUGCUUGGGCUCCAGGGGGAGUAUGGUCGCAAGGCUGAAACUUAAAGAAAUUGACGGAAGGGCACCACCAGGGGUGGAACCUGCGGCUUAAUUUGACUCAACACGGGGAAACUCACCAGGUCCAGACACAGUGAGGAUUGACAGAUUGAGAGCUCUUUCUUGAUUCUGUGGGUGGUGGUGCAUGGCCGUUCUUAGUUGGUGGAGUGAUUUGUCUGCUUAAUUGCGAUAACGAACGAGACCUUAACCUGCUAAAUAGCCCGUACUGCUUUGGCAGUUCGCCGGCUUCUUAGAGGGACUAUCGG
Molecule: ribosomal RNA, 729 nt
Filed under: uncultured eukaryote
Lineage: Eukaryota
Description: SSU rRNA
Rfam family: Eukaryotic small subunit ribosomal RNA
Source: RNAcentral